This 182-nucleotide non-coding RNA is filed under the name Jeotgalibacillus soli. RNAcentral's name for it is "Lysine sequence". It matches the Rfam family "Lysine riboswitch aptamer". From Rfam's summary of the family: Riboswitches are metabolite binding domains within certain messenger RNAs that serve as precision sensors for their corresponding targets. Allosteric rearrangement of mRNA structure is mediated by ligand binding, and this results in modulation of gene expression. The record is from Rfam by way of RNAcentral. Lineage: Bacteria; Bacillati; Bacillota; Bacilli; Caryophanales; Caryophanaceae.
CGAUGGGGUAGAGGAGCAGUCUUCAAGAGUACGCUGUGUAAGGAUGACAACGAUGAUCGCAGCUGAAAGGGAAGAAUUGCCGAAGUGAUAAUGAUCCGUCAAGGGCCUAUCACUGGGGUUAUCUUUAAGAAGGAUAACACUCUCAUUGCAGAAAAUUUUUGCAAUGAGGAGCUACAGAUCGU